Molecule: ribosomal RNA, 519 nt
Filed under: uncultured bacterium
Lineage: Bacteria
Description: partial 16S ribosomal RNA
Rfam family: Bacterial small subunit ribosomal RNA
Source: RNAcentral
UGGGGAAUUUUGGACAAUGGGGGCAACCCUGAUCCAGCCAUCCCGCGUGUGCGAUGAAGGCCUUCGGGUUGUAAAGCACUUUUGGCAGGGAAGAAACAGCCUGGGAUAAUACCCCGGGCGACUGACGGUACCUGCAGAAUAAGCACCGGCUAACUACGUGCCAGCAGCCGCGGUAAUACGUAGGGUGCAAGCGUUAAUCGGAAUUACUGGGCGUAAAGCGUGCGCAGGCGGUUCGGAAAGAAAGGUGUGAAAUCCAGGGCUUAACCUUGGAACUGCACUUUUAACUACCGAGCUAGAGUACGUCAGAGGGGGGUAGAAUUCCACGUGUAGCAGUGAAAUGCGUAGAGAUGUGGAGGAAUACCGAUGGCGAAGGCAGCCCCCUGGGAUGAUACUGACGCUCAUGCACGAAAGCGUGGGGAGCAAACAGGAUUAGAUACCCUGGUAGUCCACGCCCUAAACGAUGUCAACUAGCUGUUGGGGUUUAUUAACCUUAGUAGCGCAGCUAACGCGUGAAGUUGA